GUGCGUGAUGAUGGAAAAUUUCUUCACUUUGACCUGACUUGUUUGAUUGAAGAAAUU
MicroRNA precursor from Corvus moneduloides (New Caledonian crow), 57 nucleotides. The record is from Ensembl. Lineage: Eukaryota; Metazoa; Chordata; Aves; Passeriformes; Corvidae.